Cinara cedri is the source of this 1047-nucleotide non-coding RNA. Lineage: Eukaryota; Metazoa; Arthropoda; Insecta; Hemiptera; Aphididae. The record is from the annotation of a GenBank genome assembly.
AUUUUGUCAGAACCGUAUUUUAGCCGACACGUACUUUAUCCGAACCGUAUUUCAGCCGACAAAUCCCCCUCCACUAUAAUCAACGUUCUGCCAUACCUCAUCUGCAGUCCGUACGCGCAAUUACCGACGUUACCGUACCGGUUGUGUUGUAGCGUAGGUUGGAGUGGAGCGGGAUUUUGUCGGCUAAAAUACGGUUCGGAUGAAAUACGUGUCGGUUAUAAUACGGAUUGGAUCAAAUAUUUGUCUGCUUAAAUACGGUUCGGAUGAAAUACGUGUCGGUUAAAAUACGGUUCGGAUUUGUCGGCUUAAAUACUGUUGGCUAUGAUAUUUUCGGCUAAAAUAUAGCCCCUCCGUACCAUAAUAUAUUCACUUAUAUAUCUUUCUUUCUCCUACAAACCAAUCUAUAACGACUAUUGUUUGGACAUCUACAUUGAUCCCUUAUAUAUGCAGUAUAGACAAACAAUUGCCCGAGUUUAUCAUUAUCACUACUUUUUGGUAAUAAAAAUGCUGAUAAAAAUACCCAAGAAAUAAUAACUAACACGGUUUUAAAUACUAUGUUAUUUUAUUGUCCGUAGCCUAUAGCCGUGAUUGAAACAUCAGAGCCAAACAUUUCCAAAGAGGGGGCGAUACACCCAUCGCCCCUCCCUCAAAUACGUCACUGCAUAAUAGUAAUCAUCGUCUUAUAACCUGCAACACGUUCGUAUGCGAUCGGAAUUUAAACAUUCUAAACGCAUGCAUUAUAAUAAAACCAAUGCAUUAUUCGCCACACUCAAAAUUGGAGAACAGGGGAGAUCCGUGGCCCAUUGAUAUACUUUUUAUUAGUUUGAAGUCCAUGGCCCGGAAAAGAACUCCUGUAGCCUAUAUAAUUUUAAAUCUCCGCAUAUCAACCAAACACUUCUUUUUAAUAUACCUAAGUAGCCUGUAUGCGAAUUCGGCAACAUUCCCCAACCGAACUGCAAUCCGUUUAAUACAAUAUGGUGCAUAAAGUGUAAAUACCUUCCGCGUGACAUAUGAUGUAAUAAUACCUAAAUUGUAUACGACUUGUUC